Molecule: ribosomal RNA, 1660 nt
Filed under: metagenome
Description: bacterial LSU rRNA
Rfam family: Bacterial large subunit ribosomal RNA
Source: RNAcentral
UUAAACCUGACACCGAAGCUUAGGCAAUACAGCAAUGUAUUGGGUAGGGGAGCGUUGUAUACGCGGUGAAACAGUAGCGCAAGCGGCUGUGGAGUGUAUAGAAGUGAGAAUGCCGGAAUGAGUAGCGCGAAUGCAGUGAGAAUCUGCAUGGCCGAAAGCCUCAGGUUUUCUGGAGGAAGGUUCGUCCGCUCCAGGUUAGUCGGGAGCUAAGGUGAGGCCUAACGGCGUAGCCGAUGCACAGACGGUAGAGAUUCCGUCACCACCAAAAGAGUUAAACACAGGGACACAUUUGAAGUCUCGGAGCCGGGUGUUGGUUCCGGUAGCGAUCGAGGGAAGUUAGUACCGAAGUCCGGGAUGGAAGAUGGCGAGAAAAGCUGUGUGUAUUUCUGCGGUGCCCGUACCGCAAACCGACACAGGUAGGUAGGAAGAAGAUUCUAAGGCCAACGGGAGAAGGGUUGUUAAGGAACUCGGCAAAUUGACCCCGUAACUUCGGGAGAAGGGGUGCUCCAGAGAUGGAGCCGCAGAGAAUCGGCCCAAGCAACUGUUUACCAAAAACACAGGUUUGUGCUAAAUCGAAAGAUGACGUAUACGAGCUGACGCCUGCCCGGUGCUGGAAGGUUAAGAGGAGAUGUGCAAGCAUUGAAUCGAAGCCCCAGUGAACGGCGGCCGUAACGAUAACGGUCCUAAGGUAGCGAAAUUCCUUGUCAGGUAAGUUCUGACCCGCAUGAAAGGCGUAAUGAUUUGGGCACUGUCUCGACAGCCCGCCCGGCGAAAUUGUAGUACCGGUGAAGAUGCCGGUUACCCGCGACAAGACGGAAAGACCCCAUGGAGCUUUACUGUAGCCUAAUAUUGGGUUUCGAUGUUGCAUGCACAGGAUAGAUGGGACACAGGGAAACAAGUGCUUUGGCAUUUGUGGAGUGGCCGUUGGGAUACCAUCCUUGCGAUAUUGGAAUUCUAACCUGCGCCUUUGAAUCAAGGCGGGGGACAUUGUUAGGUGGGCAGUUUGACUGGGGCGGUCGCCUCCUAAAGAGUAACGGAGGCGUUCAAAGGUUCGCUCAGCUUGAACGGAAAUCAAGCAAAAGAGUGCAAACGCAGAAGCGAGCCUAACUGCGAGACUGACGGGUCGAGCAGUAACGAAAGUUGGAGUUAGUGAUCCGGUGGUAUGUGAGUGGAAAUGCCAUCGCUCAACGGAUAAAAGUUACCCUGGGGAUAACAGGCUGAUCUCCCCCAAGAGUCCACAUCGACGGGGAGGUUUGGCACCUCGAUGUCGGCUCAUCGCAUCCUGGGGCUGUAUUCGGUCCCAAGGGUUUGGCUGUUCGCCAAUUAAAGCGGUACGCGAGCUGGGUUCAGAACGUCGUGAGACAGUUCGGUCCCUAUCUGUCGUGGGCGCAGGAUAUUUGAUGGGAGCUGUUCCUAGUACGAGAGGACCGGAGCGGACGUACCUCUGGCGCACCAGUUGUUCUGCCAAGGGCAUAGCUGGGCAACUAUGUACGGAUCGGAUAAACGCUGAAAGCAUCUAAGCGUGAAGCCGACCCAAAGAUAAGAUAUCCCAUUGUUUCAAACAAGUAAGACCCCUUGAAGACUACAAGGUUGAUAGGCACGAUGUGUAAGUGGAGUGAUCCAUUCAGCAAGCGUGUACUAAUAGGUCGAGGGCUUGACC